RNAcentral lists this transfer RNA (71 nucleotides) under Loxodonta africana (African savanna elephant). It matches the Rfam family "tRNA". From Rfam's summary of the family: Transfer RNA (tRNA) molecules are approximately 80 nucleotides in length. Their secondary structure includes four short double-helical elements and three loops (D, anti-codon, and T loops). Further hydrogen bonds mediate the characteristic L-shaped molecular structure. tRNAs have two regions of fundamental functional importance: the anti-codon, which is responsible for specific mRNA codon recognition, and the 3' end, to which the tRNAs corresponding amino acid is attached (by aminoacyl-tRNA synthetases). tRNAs cope with the degeneracy of the genetic code in two manners: having more than one tRNA (with a specific anti-codon) for a particular amino acid; and 'wobble' base-pairing, i.e. permitting non-standard base-pairing at the 3rd anti-codon position. The record is from Rfam by way of RNAcentral. Lineage: Eukaryota; Metazoa; Chordata; Mammalia; Proboscidea; Elephantidae.
GCAGUGGUGGUUCAGGGGUAGAAGUCUCGCCUUUCAUGAGGGAGACCUAGGUUCAAUUCCCAGCCACAGCA